This is a non-coding RNA of Podarcis lilfordi (Lilford's wall lizard), 71 nucleotides long. Lineage: Eukaryota; Metazoa; Chordata; Lepidosauria; Squamata; Lacertidae. The record is from the annotation of a GenBank genome assembly.
UGGAUAGCUCAGUUGGUUAGAGCAUGGUGCUGAUAAAGCCAAGGUUGCGGGUUCAAUUCCAUAUAGGGCAG